Molecule: small nuclear RNA, 178 nt
Filed under: Cervus hanglu yarkandensis (Yarkand deer)
Lineage: Eukaryota; Metazoa; Chordata; Mammalia; Artiodactyla; Cervidae
Description: U4 spliceosomal RNA (ENSCHYG00000013313.1)
Rfam family: U4 spliceosomal RNA (bases 1-129)
About the family: U4 small nuclear RNA (U4 snRNA) is a component of the major U2-dependent spliceosome. The structure of U4 snRNA from yeast and human has been reported. U4 snRNA presents a k-turn RNA motif in the 5p-SL related to recognition of Snu13 protein.
Source: RNAcentral
AGCUUUGCGCAGUGGCAGUAUCGUAGCCAAUGAGGUUUAUCCAAGGCGCAAUUAUUGGUCAUUGAAAACCUUUCCCAAAAACUGGGGCAAAACAUUUCUUGAACCUUAAUAUUUUUUUGUCACUAUUAGCCAUCAGACUGUAUUUUUUGAUUCAGCGUUUCUGGAAAAUCUUGUUGAU